Gadus morhua (Atlantic cod) is the source of this 336-nucleotide long non-coding RNA. RefSeq lists it as uncharacterized. The transcript has 3 exons. The record is from RefSeq and is a predicted model, not a curated record. Lineage: Eukaryota; Metazoa; Chordata; Actinopteri; Gadiformes; Gadidae.
UUCGCUCCUAAAAAUAAAGAGAAAAAAGAACAGUAUCCAGUGUGCGGUGUUUAAUGAACUUUUCAUAUUUGAUCACGUUUUCCUGCCUAACACCUGCACCUGGAAAGCUGAAGGGUUGUGCACAAGGACUUUCAUGCACUUUGAUCUUUGGGUGCUCCUGGUUUGGGCUUUUUUCAGGUUCAUACGCGCUGCAUCAUAAUUGGCUGUUGAAGACAACAAUGAAGUCUCAUCUGGCAUAGCGCUUUGGAUGACUGCAACUUUCGUCUGCUUGGUGUCUUUAUACGGUGGCCAAAAAGACACCUUGCCAUCCAAACUUAGCCACGAGCAAGGCACAAC